This 538-nucleotide ribosomal RNA is filed under the name Filifactor alocis. RNAcentral describes it as "bacterial SSU rRNA". It matches the Rfam family "Bacterial small subunit ribosomal RNA", at positions 505 to 1041 of the family's 1533-position model. The record is from RNAcentral. Lineage: Bacteria; Bacillati; Bacillota; Clostridia; Peptostreptococcales; Filifactoraceae.
GUGCCAGCCGCCGCGGUAAUUCAUAGGGGGCAAGCGUUAUCCGGAAUAACUGGGCGUAAAGGGUGCGCAGGUGGUUUAACAAGUUAGUGGUGAAAGGCAUAGGCUCAACCAAUGUAAGCCAUUAAAACUGUUUAACUUGAGUGCAGGAGAGGAAAGUGGAAUUCCUAGUGUAGCGGUGAAAUGCGUAGAUAUUAGGAGGAAUACCAGUGGCGAAGGCGACUUUCUGGACUGCAACUGACACUGAGGCACGAAAGCGUGGGGAGCAAACAGGAUUAGAUACCCUGGUAGUCCACGCCGUAAACGAUGAGUACUAGGUGUCGGGUGAAGAACUCAGUGCCGAAGUUAACACAUUAAGUACUCCGCCUGGGGAGUACGCUCGCAAGAGUAAAACUCAAAGGAAUUGACGGGGACCCGCACAAGCAGCGGAGCAUGUGGUUUAAUUCGAAGCAACGCGAAGAACCUUACCUAAACUUGACAUACCAAUGACAGCCUUUUAAUCGAGGACUUCUACCUUCGGGUAGACAAUGGAUACAGGUGG